GACGAACGUUGGCGGCGUGCUUAAUACAUGCAAGUCAACUGAAGCAGUGGUAGCAAUAUCGCUGUGGAGGUGGCGCACGGGUGAGUAACACGUAGGUAACCUGCCUUCAGGUCUGGCAUAACUCCGGGAAACCGGGGCUAAUAGCAGAUGAUGCAGCGGCUCGACAUCGAGACAGUUGUUAAAGCUAUGGCGCCUGAAGAUGAGCCUGCGUCUGAUUAGCUAGUUGGCGGGGUAACGGCCCACCAAGGCAACGAUCAGUAGCUGGUCUGAGAGGAUGAUCAGCCACACUGGAACUGAGACACGGUCCAGACUCCUACGGGAGGCAGCAGUAAGGAAUAUUGCUCAAUGGGAGAAAUCCUGAAGCAGCAACGCCGCGUGAGGGACGAAGGGCUUUUGCUUGUAAACCUCUGUAGUGAGAGAAAAAAAUCCCAAUCUUUGGGACAUGAUGGUAUCUCAAAAGUAAGCCCCGGCUAACUACGUG
RNAcentral lists this ribosomal RNA (481 nucleotides) under uncultured bacterium. RNAcentral's name for it is "partial 16S ribosomal RNA". It matches the Rfam family "Bacterial small subunit ribosomal RNA", at positions 28 to 507 of the family's 1533-position model. The record is from RNAcentral.